This 1060-nucleotide long non-coding RNA is filed under the name Zonotrichia albicollis (white-throated sparrow). Its description in RNAcentral is "lncRNA (ENSZALG00000009305.1)". The record is from RNAcentral. Lineage: Eukaryota; Metazoa; Chordata; Aves; Passeriformes; Passerellidae.
GAGGAGGUGAACGAGGAGGAGGCCGUGGAGGAGGAGGUGGACGAGGACGAGUAGAAUGAUGGGGAUGAUGAGAAGGAGGAAGAGGAGGAGGAGGGGGAGGGGGAAGAGGGGGAGGGGAAGAGGGGGAGGAGGAGAACAAUGAUGAGGACGAGGUGACACAGCAGGGUGUCAUGGGAACCAAGGAUGAAGAGGAGGAAAAGGAGGAAUGGGAGGGGGAGGAGGAUGAGGAGGAGGAAGAGGGGGAGUAGGACGAGGACAAGGAGGAGAAGGAGGACAAGGAAGAAGAGGAGAAGGACGAUUAGGAGAAGGACAAGGAGGAUGAGGAGGAUGAGGAAGAAGACAAGCAGGAGAAGGAGGAGGAGGACAGGGACGAGGAGGAGGAGGACAAAGAGGAUGAGGUCGAGGAGGAAGAGGACGAGGAUGAAGAGGAUGAGAAGGGGGAGCAGGAGGAGGAGGACGAGGAGGAGGAGGACGAGGAGGAGGAGGACGAGGUGGAUGAAGAGGAGGAGGACGAGGAGGAGGAAGAGGACAAGGACGAGGAGAACAAGGAAGAAGAGGAGGAGGAAGAUAAGGAGGACUCAGAGGAAGAGGAGUAGAAGGAGGAAGAGGAGGACGAGGAGGCAGAAGAUGAGGAGGAGGAGGAUGAGGAAGUGGAGGAGGACAAGGUCGGGGAGGAGGAGGAGGAAGAGGAGGAAGAAGAAGAGGAGGAGGAGGACAAUGAGGGCAAGAAGGAGGAGAAGGAUGAGGAGAAGGAGGAUGAGGACAAGGCCGAUGGAGACGAGGAGGAGGAGGAGGAUGAGGAGGAGGCGAAGAAGGACGAUGAGGGCAAGAAGGAGAAGGAUGACGAGGAGGAGGAGGACGAUGAGGGUGAGGAGGAGGAGGACAAGGACAAGGAUGAGAACGUGGAGGACGUGGAGGAGGCCGUGGAUGAUGAUUAGGACAAGGAUCAGGAAGAGGAGGGAGAGGAGGAGCAGGAGCAGGAGCGGGAGAAUCCCGGCACUCCCAGUGCCUGCACGCUGAGCCUGCAGCACCCCCUGCCCCGGGAGCAUCGCCCCCAGCC